AUGUCAACAGUGGCUCUGGCUCUUAAGGAAACACUGCACACCUCACCGGGAAAAGGCAGUAUGGUACAGUGGGUAACAGGCUGGACUCCGGAGCACGACGCCGCAGGUUCAAACCCCACCGCCGCCGCUCAGCCUCUGAAACCCACCCUGGGUUGUGUGCACCCUUUCCUAUUUUCAUCCUUAAAACCGGAGAAACAAGAAAUAGGGGCCCCCGACAGAACUGCAGUAAGGAUUAAGAACAGCAAUAGACGUGACCCACGGGAAGGUGUGUUGUUACGUGGCAACAUGUUUUCUUCCGAGGCGAGAGGGCAGGGGCGUCACGGCCUCGGCCUCCCGGCGAGCCAUCCGCGGCCCCCGAGCCCAAGCAUCCUAACCCUAACACGACGGCCGUGCCUAGUCCGACCCCUCCUGGCCCCGAACGGCACGGCCGCCCAGCAGUUACUAAAGGAUCGAGGAAUGCCGGGCCGGGCCGGGGCCGAUCGGGUUCAGCUGCCGGGAGGGCGCCCCGAGAGUCUCCGGGACCCUCCCCCUGCUCCUCGGGGAGGGCCGCGGGCCCCGAGCCGCCCCCAGCAGCGGCCAGGCCUCCUGGCGGGUGGUCAGGGCCCCCUCCUCAAGCCCACCCAGCCCGCCCGUGCAGCAGCCACGCCGGCCCGGCACCCGCUGCCCUCGGACAGGUGUUCCCGGCGCAGGAGAGCAGCCCGGGCGGGGCAGGGCGGCUGGACCCUGAGUCACCGCCGGCAGCUUCGGCCGCCGCCUCCCGGACUGCCGGGCCAGGAGGUGGGAGCUGGCGGGCAGCCGGGGUCGGCGGGGCGAGCGGUCCGUCCCUCCGGUCGGAAUCCCUGGAGGCCCCCAGCCCCUCGGCGCGACGCGGGCCUCCCCGGCCUACUCGGGAGCCCAACGCGGGAGCCCACCUCGCGAGUUCGGCUCGGCUCACGCCGGGCCUGGGCGCAGGCGACGCGGCACUCACCUCUCCGCGGGGGCCGCGCGCGCGUUCGGCGGCAACGGCCCAGGGAGCCGCGGGCAGCAGAGGUGGCGGCGGCCGGGCUCUCUUCUCAGGGAGCGGCCAUGUUGCUGGUGGAGAAACUCCUGGCGACACGUGGGGGGAGCGGGCCGGCCCUGGCGCUUCCUCUUUCCCACAAUGCUCCGCCCCGGCGGCGCGGGCCCGCCCCCACGCCGCGCCGCUCUAGGAAGCCCACAGCCGGUCGGGCAGUAGGGGGCGCUGCCGCUCUCGCUAAACGGAGCUGCGCCAACGCGGCAGAGGCCGAAAAAAAUAUAUUCUGGCAGCGGUGGGAUUCGAACCCACGCCCCCGAAGAGACUGGAGCCUUAAUCCAGCGCCUUAG
RNAcentral lists this long non-coding RNA (1341 nucleotides) under Oryctolagus cuniculus (rabbit). RNAcentral's name for it is "lncRNA (ENSOCUG00000034447.1)". The record is from RNAcentral. Lineage: Eukaryota; Metazoa; Chordata; Mammalia; Lagomorpha; Leporidae.